RNAcentral lists this small RNA (1440 nucleotides) under Pongo abelii (Sumatran orangutan). RNAcentral describes it as "processed transcript". The record is from RNAcentral. Lineage: Eukaryota; Metazoa; Chordata; Mammalia; Primates; Hominidae.
AUACAGUGACCUCGGGCGGCGGGUCGCGUCGGCCGGGCAUGGCUGCAUGGAGCCCGGCUGCGGCAGCGCCUCUCCUCCGCGGGAUCCGUGGGUUCUUCCACUGCGGUGACUUUCAGCGUGGACAGUGAUCAUCUGGGGAUGUCAGUUGAUUGUUCCACUAAAGGCCGCUGCCCACAGAUCCGCUAAGAUGAAAGGCUUCUCCCAAGGAUUCUGCAACACUCACCACUCUCACCCCUUAGUAGCUGCCGAUUCUGUCUGCCAUCUGGUUACUCUCUGCCUUUACCUUCAAGAUUCUGCCCCCAGAAGCAGCGCCACCCCACCCUCACUCCCAGCAAUCCUGUCCAGCCUCUCAACAUCGAGUUUCUGUCCCUCCACACAGCAGGCAGACAAUCACACUCUGGACCUGUCUCCUGUCCUGCAUUUCUGUCCCUAAUUGAAUAGUUCUUCCCCUGCUCAUUCAUUCAUCCAGCACCAAGUGCCUCUGAGGGCCUGCCCUGGGGUCAGCUCUGGGAUGCUGCCCGACUCAUUCCUGGCCUGUAAGACCAGUGGUGAGAGAGCCAGUGCACAGCUCAUUUUAAAGGAGGUGCUCUGGGAUUCUGUGACACAGGACCCUGCUUUUUCUGAACUAUCAGGAAGGACUGAGGGGUAGAGGGGUGGGACCUUCAGCACCAGCACCCAUGAACGGCCCUAGUGUCCUCCAACCUGUCAUCCACGUCUAGUCAGGGAUCAGUGCCCGGUGCUUCCGUCAUUGUAAUGCCUCUUACUUGGGCAUCUCUCCUGACUCGCUCCAGAAGGCACUGUUUCCUGCAGGUUACUUUGGUACCAUGAGCCUGGGUUCCAUCACCUGGAGUCCCAUCUCCUGUCCGAUACAGUCCACAAUCUUUAGCCUGGCAUUCAAGGCCUGCCACACUCCAUUCCCAGUCUGCCUUUUCAGCAUGCGCUCAGCCCAGCCAAGUUACUGCCGACCUGCUUUUCUGCUCCUUCACUACUAACUGUUGAGAUGUGUUCCAUCAGAAACACGGGCUCCCCUGGUCGGGCACGGUGGCUCAUGCCUGUAAUCCUAGAAUUUUGGGAGGUUGAGCUUCCACUUCACCAUCGGAUGUUUGCCACCCAGACUGAGGGGGAGCUCAGAGUGACCCAGAUUCUCAAAGAAAAGUUUCCACGAGCUACAGCUAUAAAAGUCACUGACAUUUCAGGCACUAAAAGAAGAAAUCAAAGGGAUGCAUGGAUUGCGGAUAUUUACCUCUGUCCCCAAACGCUGACCACGCCCUGGCUGCAUAGAUGCUGCUGCUGAAGACCUUGGAUGAACUUCACUGACGUCAUUCUUCCCUAAGCAGUCACCAAAAAAUUUAUAUAUUUUGCUCAUAUACAUUUCCAUAUUAUAAUUAUAGAAGAUGUAUAAUCUAUUUAGAUGUUAAUUAAAGGAAACAAACAACUGAA